GAUGAACGCUGGCGGCGUGCCUAAUACAUGCAAGUCGAGCGAACAGACGAGGAGCUUGCUCCUCUGACGUUAGCGGCGGACGGGUGAGUAACACGUGGAUAACCUACCUAUAAGACUGGGAUAACUUCGGGAAACCGGAGCUAAUACCGGAUAAUAUAUUGAACCGCAUGGUUCAAUAGUGAAAGACGGUUUUGCUGUCACUUAUAGAUGGAUCCGCGCCGCAUUAGCUAGUUGGUAAGGUAACGGCUUACCAAGGCAACGAUGCGUAGCCGACCUGAGAGGGUGAUCGGCCACACUGGAACUGAGACACGGUCCAGACUCCUACGGUAGGCAGCAGUAGGGAAUCUUCCGCAAUGGGCGAAAGCCUGACGGAGCAACGCCGCGUGAGUGAUGAAGGUCUUCGGAUCGUAAAACUCUGUUAUUAGGGAAGAACAAAUGUGUAAGUAACUAUGCACGUCUUGACGGUACCUAAGCAGAAAGCCACGGCUAACUACGU
Molecule: ribosomal RNA, 496 nt
Filed under: uncultured bacterium
Lineage: Bacteria
Description: partial 16S ribosomal RNA
Rfam family: Bacterial small subunit ribosomal RNA
Source: RNAcentral